This is a long non-coding RNA of Ceratina calcarata, 717 nucleotides long. RefSeq lists it as uncharacterized. The transcript is spliced from 3 exons. NCBI's taxonomy places the organism in Eukaryota, Metazoa, Arthropoda, Insecta, Hymenoptera, Apidae. The record is from RefSeq and is a predicted model, not a curated record.
UCAAAAUACAGAUAAAUUCCUGCACUCGUACGCAUUCGCGGCAAGCAUAAUUCGCAUAAUUCAUUUAAACAAUAACGCACUUGGUCGAGGUGGGGAACGUGCGUUCGACUUAAAUCCAGAUUUAGAAUACGUAUUCGCCUCAGAUCUACCUGUGUCCAUCAAGUAAAUCAUGGAUCCCCGGGAGUUACAAGUAAUAUAACUCAAAAACAUUUUCUUUUUCAUCCCUAUUACAACAAUAUUAUGAUUUACAAAGUGUUCUUUACAUACUUUAUAUUAAUCGAUCGAUUAAACUCAUCGAUAGUGUCGGUUUUCGUUCACGGAGAAGGAUAUGAACUUUUGCGUCUGCCGCAUUGUGGCUACAAUCACGUCAAGCAACCCAAAAUAAUGCAUGGUAAUGAAUCACAACCCGGCAUGUGCUAUUUUAUUUUAUUACGGUUGAAUUCAUCAAUCGUAGACAAUAUAAAUAACUAUAUUAUUCAUGUGAGUGGCCAUGGAUGGCUGCGCUGGGCUAUGAAGACGACACUCAUCCCUUGAGCUGGCGGUGCGGUGGGUCACUAAUCACGUCCAGACACGUAAUAACCGCUGCGCAUUGUGUAACUUUUACGACUCCAAGUUUAAAAUACGUUCGCCUUGCGUGAUAGUGGUGGACCAUUGACUUCACGGAUAGGUGGGACAAACUACCAAAUAGGACUAGUGUCUUAUGGUCAUAGAUGUGGA